CCGCACGCGUCGGGAGAGCGCGUGGUUUCGUUCAUGCAGCGAAGACCGCGCCGCCGAAGGGGCACACCCGCAAACUCUCAGGCAAAAGGACCGACUGCGUCGAG
This 104-nucleotide non-coding RNA is filed under the name Burkholderia sp. RNAcentral's name for it is "Glycine sequence". It matches the Rfam family "Glycine riboswitch aptamer". Rfam says of the family: This family represents the bacterial glycine riboswitch. Lineage: Bacteria; Pseudomonadati; Pseudomonadota; Betaproteobacteria; Burkholderiales; Burkholderiaceae. The record is from RNAcentral.